AUGGAACGCUUUUUUUACAGCAAUGGCGGCUCGUGGAGCCUCUCAAUAGUUCCCGGAAGUAGCAGCAAACCGAUGCCGCGCCGUAGAGAUGCAGCAGAACAAACCGUUUGCGACGCACUUUUAAAAGACCCAGGUCUAGGGGUGCAUCGUGGAGCAGGGCCCUCCUCUUUUUGACCACAGGACGAUGUACAAAGAUUGUGGGAAUAGCAUCUGGUCUCAGCCUACUCUUGAAUUUUUUGGUCAUGACAAAUUGCUUUGCCUCAAUUUGCCUGCAGAGUGACUCCAGUUUAGUUUCCACAGACAACUUUUUUUUUGUCUACCCACAUACAGUACAUACACAUGGUGGUUAAAUGCACAGUUAUAGGUAACACUGAUGACUCCCUGCAUUGUCUCACCCUGAGUCUCAGCUCCCUGGGUUUUGCAAGGCUUUGUGUGUUCCUUAUUUCUAGUAAAUCAUUUUCAAUGUAAGAAAGUGCAAAUAAAUUUAAGUAUAAUUACCUAACAAUUUUUUGUUGUUGUAAUUUUUAUUUAUAUUUAGAUUGCUCCUGCUGACUUGAGCCAACCAUUAUUUUCUCCUCUCCAUGUCAGCGGGGAAGCCAUACAUUCGCACACCUUCCUCUGACCGAGUGGAGCAUCCCCAUGCAGCACAGUAAACCACGGUGGAGACUAUGCAAGGACAACAUGAAAGAAAGGACACAUACAAAAUGCUUGGCAUGCUAUUAAAUUUAUUAGAAAUGUAUUCAUGAAUUGCUGUAAAUAGUUAAUUGUAUUUAUUUGAAUAAAAAUACAAAGUGAUCUCAUAAUAUAUAAUUACAAUUUAAAAUAACUGUUUUCUAUUUUAAAAUGUAAUAUACUCCUGUGAUGCCAACCUGAAUCUUCAGCAUCAUUACUUUUGAAUGGCAGUGUACAUGUUUAUAUACGAGUAUGCUUAAGUUGUUUUAAACCUGAAUAUAUUGUGUACAUGAAUAAGUAUUGUAAGAAUUAUACUAGAUAUAAUAGAUAUAUUAUUUAUAAUACAUAAUUAUAUUAGUAUAUGUAAUUGUAAGAAUUAUAAACAGUAAGCUUCAUUUUACAUUUAUUUAACAUGCUAAUUACUGCUGCUAACAGUUAAUUGACCCAUAGUGUGGAGCUGAAAAUCACCUGUCACCAGCCUGUCUCUCUACUACCUGAAAGUCGUCAAUAUGACACGAGUUAACAUGAGAUAAGUGGAAAAAAAGGACAAUAUGUAACGUAAAAAGGCAACAGCAACCCGUGUUUAUACAACUUAACGUUAGCAUGAAAUACGUUUUUAAAAUAACGGUACUUGAACACAUCCUCAAAUAUUACCCGAUUUGAUAUUUUAUAAACAUCAUUGCUGUAAUUAUAUAUACUCAUGCUUCAUACAUAUGUCGGUGUGUUGUAUAAAUAUAUAAAAUAAAUGCAUUUAUUGACUCCUUAUUACCAGAAAUCGCAGUUCUGUCACUCUACUCUAUCAGUUUGAAUGGCCGCCAAUGCACUUCCUGGAACUAUUUGAAGUCUACACGAAUCACGUGACAAACAAACAUUUCGAACUUCCGUUGUCGCAACUCUCUCUCUAUAUGGCUCUGGGUGCACCUAUAAUAAGUGUUUAUAUUCGGACUAUUUUAGAUUGCUUCGGGGAUACCGCGGCGGAGUAACCCAGUACCUUUGUGAUUCUUCAUAGACAUAAACAGAGAGAAGUAGUUCCGGCUACGAUGUUCUUCCGCAAGACGCAAGCAGUUCUGUUUAUUAACCGCUAGAGCGUCAAAAGUUCCCUACCGCAGCUUUAAUACCUUUAUUCAGCAAGGAUGCAUUCAAUUCCUCAAAAGUGACAAUAUGACAAUAAAGGCAUUCAUUAAUAUUAUAAUAAAAACUAUUUUGAAAAGACUAUUUUACAAGGUGUUCGUUUGAGCUUUCUAGCUAUUAAUCAAUCACAAAGAAAUUGUUUCAACAAAAAUAUUUAGCAGCACAACCAAUUUUAACCAAUAAUAAUAAGAAAUGUUUCUUGAGAACCAGGCACAUCAGAAUGAUUUCUGAAGGAUCACUUGACACUUAAAUUAUACUAACACAAUUGUAACAAAUUUAAUUUUAAUAUUAUUGUAAUAUUACACAUUACUGGUAUUGCUGACCCAAUAAAUGCAAUAUUUGAGAGCAUAGCAUACAUUUUUCAAAAGCAUUAAAAAAUGUUAUUGACCCCAAAUUUUUUAUUGUAGUGUAAUACAAUGACAAUAAAAUAAGAGUGAUUUUUUUCUCUCCCCACCAACAUUUACUUAACACAAACCUGCAGUUCUGAAACUGGUGAAGAACUUCUGUUAUCCACUAGAUGUCAGUGUUUAUCUAUGACAAAGCUUUUUCCUUCCUCUCAAUGACUGCCAGAUUGACUAGUAAAUAUAAAAAAGCUUCAAAUGCUGCUCGGAUUCUAGAGAUAGCUUUACUUUGCUUUGAUAUUUAAACGCAG
RNAcentral lists this long non-coding RNA (2455 nucleotides) under Carassius auratus (goldfish). RNAcentral describes it as "lncRNA (ENSCARG00000026257.1)". Lineage: Eukaryota; Metazoa; Chordata; Actinopteri; Cypriniformes; Cyprinidae. The record is from RNAcentral.